RNAcentral lists this ribosomal RNA (253 nucleotides) under uncultured bacterium. Its description in RNAcentral is "partial 16S ribosomal RNA". It matches the Rfam family "Archaeal small subunit ribosomal RNA", at positions 474 to 727 of the family's 1478-position model. The record is from RNAcentral.
UACCAGCACCCCGAGUGGUCGGGACGAUUAUUGGGCCUAAAGCAUCCGUAGCCGGUUCUACAAGUCUUCCGUUAAAUCUACCUGCUUAACAGAUGGGCUGCGGAGGAUACUAUAGAGCUAGGAGGCGGGAGAGGCAAGCGGUACUUAGUGGGUAGGGGUAAAAUCCGUUGAUCCAUUGAAGACCACCAGUGGCGAAGGCGGCUUGCCAGAACGCACUCGACGGUGAGGGAUGAAAGCUGGGGGAGCAAACCGG